UGGCCCAGAUCGUUUACCGUGAAAAAAUUAGAGUGUUCAAAGCAGGCAGAUCCAAUUUUCUGCCACCGAAUACAUUAGCAUGGGAUAAUGGAAUAGGACCCUGUCCUCCUAUUUUCAGUUGGUUUGCCGCGAGGACCAGGGUAAUGAUUAAUAGGGAUAGUUGGGGGCAUUAAUAUUUAAUUGUCAGAGGUGAAAUUCUUGGAUUUAUGAAAGAUUAACUUCUGCGAAAGCAUCUGCCAAGGAUGUUUUCAUUAAUCAAGAACGAAAGUUAGGGGAUCGAAGACGAUCAGAUACCGUCGUAGUCUUAACCAUAAACGAUGCCGACCAGCGAUUAGGAGACGUUGAAUACAAAACACCACCAUGCGCAUUGCGGUCGUCUUUGGUGUCGCUCACAAGGCGGCACCGGGGCGGCUUAGCUCGCAUGGCACCGGUGAAUGACUCCCCUAGCAGCUUG
Molecule: ribosomal RNA, 454 nt
Filed under: Acanthamoeba genotype T3
Lineage: Eukaryota; Discosea; Longamoebia; Acanthamoebidae
Description: SSU rRNA
Rfam family: Eukaryotic small subunit ribosomal RNA
Source: RNAcentral